UUACGACCACAUCGCGUUGAAACACCGGUUCCCGUACGAUCACCGAAGUUAAGCAACAACGAGCCUGGUCAGUACCUAGAUGGGUGACCAUUUGGGAAUAUCAGGUGCUGUAAG
Non-coding RNA from Acanthosepion pharaonis, 114 nucleotides. The record is from the annotation of a GenBank genome assembly. NCBI's taxonomy places the organism in Eukaryota, Metazoa, Mollusca, Cephalopoda, Sepiida, Sepiidae.